Molecule: ribosomal RNA, 465 nt
Filed under: Vreelandella stevensii
Lineage: Bacteria; Pseudomonadati; Pseudomonadota; Gammaproteobacteria; Oceanospirillales; Halomonadaceae
Description: partial 16S ribosomal RNA
Rfam family: Bacterial small subunit ribosomal RNA
Source: RNAcentral
CCUACGGGGCGCAGCAGUGGGGAAUAUUGGACAAUGGGCGAAAGCCUGAUCCAGCCAUGCCGCGUGUGUGAAGAAGGCCUUCGGGUUGUAAAGCACUUUCAGUGGGGAAGAAAGCCUUGGGGCUAAUACCCUCGAGGAAGGACAUCACCCACAGAAGAAGCACCGGCUAACUCCGUGCCAGCAGCCGCGGUAAUACGGAGGGUGCGAGCGUUAAUCGGAAUUACUGGGCGUAAAGCGCGCGUAGGCGGUCUGAUAAGCCGGUUGUGAAAGCCCCGGGCUCAACCUGGGAACGGCAUCCGGAACUGUCAGGCUAGAGUGCAGGAGAGGAAGGUAGAAUUCCCGGUGUAGCGGUGAAAUGCGUAGAGAUCGGGAGGAAUACCAGUGGCGAAGGCGGCCUUCUGGACUGACACUGACGCUGAGGUGCGAAAGCGUGGGUAGCAAACAGGAUUAGAUACCCUUGUAGUC